GGGCCCGCACAAGCGGUGGAGCAUGUGGUUUAAUUCGACGCAACGCGAAGAACCUUACCAGGUCUUGACAUCCUGACUAUGGUUGUUAGAAAUAACUUCCUUCAGUUCGGCUGGGUCAGUGACAGGUGCUGCAUGGCUGUCGUCAGCUCGUGUCGUGAGAUGUUGGGUUAAGUUCCGCAACGAGCGCAACCCUUAUCUUCAGUUGCCAUCAGGUUAAGCUGGGCACUCUGAAGAGACUGCCGGUGAUAAGCCGGAGGAAGGCGGGGAUGACGUCAAGUCCUCAUGGCCCUUAUGACCUGGGCUACACACGUGCUACAAUGGCGUUGACAAUGAGUAGCGAUGACGCAAGUUUCAGCUAAUCUCAAAAAUACGUCUCAGUUCGGAUAGAACUCUGCAACUCGAGUUCUUGAAGUUGGAAUCGCUAGUAAUCG
Molecule: ribosomal RNA, 431 nt
Filed under: uncultured bacterium
Lineage: Bacteria
Description: bacterial SSU rRNA
Rfam family: Bacterial small subunit ribosomal RNA
Source: RNAcentral